UCUAAAGGUUUCUUCGGAAGCCUUGGCGGACUGCUCAGUAACACGUGGAUAACCUGCCCUUAGGUCUGGCAUAACCCCGGGAAACUGGGGAUAAUACCGGAUAGAUCAGGGGUCGCUGGAAUGCGCCCUGAUCCAAAGCUCCGGCGCCUAAGGAUGGGUCUGCGACCUAUCAGGUUGUAGUGGGUGUAAUGUACCUACUAGCCGACGACGGGUACGGGUUGUGAGAGCAAGAGCCCGGAGAUGGAUUCUGAGACACGAAUCCAGGCCCUACGGGGUGCAGCAGGCGCGAAACCUUUACAAUGUGCGAAAGCAUGAUAAGGGAACUCCGAGUGCCAGCAUUAAAUGUUGGCUGUCCUUGUGCCUAAAACGCACAAGAUAGCAAGGGCCGGGUAAGACCGGUGCCAGCCGCCGCGGUAACACCGGCGGCCCGAGUGGUAAUCGCUAUUAUUGGGUCUAAAGGGUCCGUAGCCGGUUUGAUAAGUCCUCUGGGAAAUCUGAUUGCUCAACAAUCAGGCUGCCAAGGGAUACUGUCAAACUUGAGACCGGGAGAGGUAAGAGGUACUUCAGGGGUAGGAGUGAAAUCUUAUAAUCCUUGGGGGACCGUCUGUGGCGAAGGCGUCUUACCAGAACGGGUCUGACGGUGAGGGACGAAAGCUGGGGGCGCGAACCGGAUUAGAUACCCGGGUAGUCCCAGCCGUAAACGAUGCUCGCUAUGUGUCAGAUACGGUGCGACCGUAUCUGGUGCCGUAGGGAAGCCGUGAAGCGAGCCACCUGGGAAGUACGGCCGCAAGGCUGAAACUUAAAGGAAUUGGCGGGGAGCACUACAACGGGGGAGC
This 836-nucleotide ribosomal RNA is filed under the name uncultured Methanosarcinales archaeon. RNAcentral's name for it is "bacterial SSU rRNA". It matches the Rfam family "Archaeal small subunit ribosomal RNA", at positions 58 to 893 of the family's 1478-position model. Lineage: Archaea; Methanobacteriati; Methanobacteriota; Methanomicrobia; Methanosarcinales. The record is from RNAcentral.